CUCAUGACGAAGUCAACAUACUGAGGAGCAGUGCACUUGAUCUUCUUUCCCCGCUCAUCAUACCAGUAGUACUGUCUGUGGAGAGAAUUGACAGUGUCACCACAUUAUACCUCGGCUUCUCAGCAAAACUCCUUUAAGAGUUCUGUGAACAGAGUCCUCACAGGUCUUGGAGGAAGAGAGGAACCGCUGACAUGCCAUGAGCAUCUCACACCUGGUGCUCAGCUCCCACCCAUGCUGGAGUUAUCUCCUUUAACUAGACAGGAAGCAGGUUGAGGCCACUGAAGGGCUCUGUCGGGCACAGCAGGCUAACUGCAUUCCACCACUGGCACCGUGACAGUACAGUCCUGAAUUAGGCAACGAAUGGGAAGCAGAAAGGACAAGAUGAGACAAAAGCACUUUUCAGAAAGUGCUCAGGUGAUACAGAUUUUGAUUAUUUCCCGUGUAAAAUUCUGGCAGACUUAAAGUUUGCCAGUAUGGACAGCAAGAGGAAUUUGCAGCUCCACUCUAAAUCACAGGGAGAAAGGACUAUGAGUUUAACGGAGAAAAGCCUAUCAUGCAAAUAAUAUAGUACACGUGAUGUCACAAUACUGCA
Molecule: long non-coding RNA, 592 nt
Organism: Neopsephotus bourkii (Bourke's parrot)
Lineage: Eukaryota; Metazoa; Chordata; Aves; Psittaciformes; Psittacidae
Exons: 2
Source: RefSeq, a predicted model, not a curated record